RNAcentral lists this ribosomal RNA (300 nucleotides) under uncultured Vagococcus sp. RNAcentral's name for it is "bacterial SSU rRNA". It matches the Rfam family "Bacterial small subunit ribosomal RNA", at positions 496 to 795 of the family's 1533-position model. Lineage: Bacteria; Bacillati; Bacillota; Bacilli; Lactobacillales; Enterococcaceae. The record is from RNAcentral.
GGCGACAUCGGGGCAGCAGCGUGGGUAAGACGAGGGUGUGAGGCGUUAAUGGGGAGUGCUGUGCGUAAAUGGUGCGUAGGCGGUUCGUUAAGUCUGCCGUGAAAUCCCCGGGGUCAACCUGGGGAUGGCGGUGGAUACUGGCGAGCUAGAGUGUGUCAGAGGAUGGUGGAAUUCCCGGUGUAGCGGUGAAAUGCGUAGAGAUCGGGAGGAACAUCAGUGGCGAAGGCGGCCAUCUGGGACAACACUGACGCUGAAGCACGAAAGCGUGGGGAGCAAACAGGAUUAGAUACCCGAGUAGUC